RNAcentral lists this non-coding RNA (23 nucleotides) under Arabidopsis thaliana (thale cress). The record is from RNAcentral. Lineage: Eukaryota; Viridiplantae; Streptophyta; Magnoliopsida; Brassicales; Brassicaceae.
UGUGGGUUUUAAAAAGUUCUCUU